Molecule: long non-coding RNA, 227 nt
Filed under: Panax ginseng (ginseng)
Lineage: Eukaryota; Viridiplantae; Streptophyta; Magnoliopsida; Apiales; Araliaceae
Description: long non-coding RNA (PGIN_LNC003620)
Source: RNAcentral
AUUAGUUCCGGGAUAAAUUAAUUCUUGAACUUGUUUUAUUGAAUUCUUAUAUCAUUGUCAUAAUCCUCAUGUUUAUAUUAUGUUGAAAGUCAUCUGUGGUCUGUAAUGCAUAGAUGGACUUGGUAUGAUUAUGACCAGGGAUUAUACGGUGUAAUCAUGACCGUAAUAUUACAAAUGAUAUGGAAAAAGUCCUCAUUGGCCCGUAGUGCAUUGAUGGACAGUUGUUG